GAAUGUGAUGUGUGUAUUUUGCUAACCCUAACCCCUCAUAUCUUGAGGACGUGUGCUUGUUGUCUUUUCUUAAUUUUGUGAGGUACGGAUUCGAGGUCGAAUCCUUUUCAAGAAGAUACAAGUACGACCACGAGGAUGGACGUGAAUGAGUGCGUAAUAAAUCCGUCCAAGGAAGUGCACAAGUGAAGUGUAAAGGAGGGCCUAAACACACCAAAAUCAGACCACUUCUUGCACUUGAUGGGCACCUCACCCUUGAGGGGUAUUAUGGA
RNAcentral lists this long non-coding RNA (269 nucleotides) under Capsicum annuum. Its description in RNAcentral is "long non-coding RNA (CANN_LNC012705)". Lineage: Eukaryota; Viridiplantae; Streptophyta; Magnoliopsida; Solanales; Solanaceae. The record is from RNAcentral.